Molecule: long non-coding RNA, 219 nt
Organism: Hydra vulgaris (swiftwater hydra)
Lineage: Eukaryota; Metazoa; Cnidaria; Hydrozoa; Anthoathecata; Hydridae
Source: RefSeq, a predicted model, not a curated record
UCGAAAUGAAAUUAAUAUUGUUUUUGACUUGACAAGUUUAUUGCAUAUGAAAUACAAUUCAUUUGAAACACAUUUAUGUUCAACGGAAGUUAAUAGCGACUUAAUCGAGUCUUCUAUGUUUGCUAAUACUGAAUUAUUAUCAACAGAAAUAGAUUGUGAAUUUCAACCAGUGAGAAUAUCUAACUCAAACGUAAACGAAUUAAAUUUGUCAGAUGUUCA